AAAGACCUAUAGGACCUUCUCCUACAUCACCUGAAUGCAACU
This 42-nucleotide transfer RNA is filed under the name Phrynocephalus przewalskii. Its description in RNAcentral is "partial tRNA-Ala". Lineage: Eukaryota; Metazoa; Chordata; Lepidosauria; Squamata; Agamidae. The record is from RNAcentral.